Long non-coding RNA from Gasterosteus aculeatus aculeatus (three-spined stickleback), 3481 nucleotides. Lineage: Eukaryota; Metazoa; Chordata; Actinopteri; Perciformes; Gasterosteidae. The record is from Ensembl.
GGUCUGAUUGCGAUUUGCGGUUCCACUAAUACGCCGAUACGUGUGAGCCUGCUGACGGCUGUUUAAGGCUCUUGUCCUCAUUUAAGAUAAAACCGUGAAUUAUUGUCAGAGACGAGGCGUUAACUUAAAGGGUCCGUUUCACUCGUUCACAAAUAUAAGACAUGAAUGCAGAUUCCAUGUUUUUCAUUUUUUUGUCUGUGGGAGGAAGUGUUGUUAAAUCUCUAAACAAGGUGAGUUGAGUGGAUUAUAGGGGAGUAACAGGGACACGGGUUGUGGCAAACGGUUUGCUGUAUUUUAGACACUCUUGUUUAAUUGUUAAUGCUAUUUAGCUGUGUUUAAAGUGCCAACAAUCUCCCCACAUUUAGCCGUGACGUUUUCAAACCACGGCCUUUUCUGGACACGGUGGUGGUGGUCCUCUGCAGACUGUGUGCCGCGCAGGGCACCGUUACAUGCUGAGAUGGACGGCUGAUAGAGAAGGUUAUCGACAAACGUGCGUUAACUACGAUAAAAUAUUUUGUUGCAUUAAUCGCGGCCACUGUAAUCGCAUAGAUUAAUACGUUCAUGUUGACCGCUCUAGUUUAAAGCAGCGCUGGUUUUCUGACGUGUGUAGUGCUCCAGUUCAUUCAGAACGAUGACAAAGAGGGAGAAGAACAGAAGGCAGAUUCACACAUAUACUCCACGCAGAGAUGGAAUCAAAACCUUGUUGAAAUGAAGAACAAUCACGUUUCUGAGUUUCUUAAGACAGCAAAAGAUGUCAUGGAUUUAAAGGUUUACACUUUAAUAAAACACGAUGGACAUUUAAAACAGAAAGAGAACUUCCCUCAACUCAAUAACUUUCUCCAAAUCCCCGAAACCUGGCGGUACGCGAGGCCGCCCGGUUGACAACGCGGCGAAUCCUCAGAGCGACUCGCACGCGUGUUUGGAAGAUUCUUCUCCCCCCCCCCGCACGCAUCCCACCAACGCCGCUACACGUCUGCCCUCCCUGUCUCAAAGCAGCCUCGGGGCGGUGGAGCUGCUAAUCUCGGGCGCCAUAUAGAAAAAAUGGAAAUGUGUAUGUGGAUGGGAGGGGCGGGCAGGGAGAGGAGAGAGGUGGCUUGCCCUUACACCGUGGCGAGAUGAAAAGCCCUCAAAGCCUGGAGAUGAGGAAAACACUGGCAGGGCAGAAGUCAAACUCCCAAGGCCGUCAGAGAGAGAGAGAGAGACAGAGAGACAGACAGAGAGCUAACUUUUCCCUUUUCGCCCCGCAGCAGAUUGUGUACGUGGUCAAACCGAGGACCCGGUGUGGAAACUCUCCAGUUAGUGAGCAUGAAUUGCAAAGUUCUCGGGCAACUUCCGUCGGAGGCCGGCAGGCCGGCAGAGUGCGGUGACCCGGUUCGGUGUUCCCGCCGCGUCGGACGGACUCUCCCACACUUUCACAGAGGUUUCAUUUUGCUCGCCUCGUUCAGUUACACGCCAAAGGUACUGCAGACACGGUGUUUAUUUCAUUAUUAUAAUAGAUCACGUUUAUUAUACACACAGCAUUGCAGAAAGGGCGAAAGAUGGGUUACUUUAUAAACGGUUUAGACGCACAAAUCACAAAUAAUAUUUGAGUAUUUGAAAUAAUAUAAGAGUUUUAAAACUUUAUUAAUUCAUAAAUGUGUAACUUUACUAUGCAUUUAGUGACAUAUCGUUACAUUGAAGCCCUUAAAGUCUGUCUUUUACUUAUUGUUCCUCCACCUGGAUGUGCAGAGUUUGGCACGUUGUUUGUUUCACUUUUUCACAUGAAUCUGCUGAAAAAGUUUCUAAAAGCUCGAAUAACAACAAGAGACUCCUGAACAUGCAAAGAGUCUCUGAGGACAAAUGACACCAGAGACAAAUUAGGAUAUUUUUAACAUGUCCGAGGGUGACUUCAAGAUUUAUGUAUGUAUUUAUGUACAUAGAUAUAUGUAUAAUCAGGGUUGAAGUAUUUAGAAUAAAAGAAAUCAACGGGGAUUUGGACAAUUAUUGUAACUUUUUAACGUUCAAAACAUUCAAUUACUGUAGUUUGAUCUCCUGGUCACUAGAGUCCGUUGACAGAAACAAUCAUUUUAAAGAAAACUUUACCACGUAAAAGUACUAAAUAAAAUGGUUUGAAAGUUACACAGACGGAACAACAAGCUGCACACACACUGAUGCACACUGGUCAUUCUGGUGGAGACGACGUCGGCGUUUCUAAAAGUCGCCCCGAUGAAUCCUUAGAAGCAGCGGACACUCCAACAGUGUAGCCUGUGACUUCUUUUAGCGCUCAUCCCGAUCGCGCUCUCACACGGCAACUUCAUGAACACGUCACUCUUGGUUUUAAAACCCUAAACAUUCACGCCUCCAGCCUCCUGGCAGUGUCGACCGUAAUCACAUCUUUGUCUUUGCACAAACUACAGUAAAUUCACCCGUUUUACCACAAUCAAUACAGACAAAGAAAACACACACACACACUGCAGAUGCGUGAGCAGCUGAUGCUGGGGGUUAAGUGUUCACAUGGAGGUGUGCGUGCGAGGGAAAAGUGUGUAACGCGCUGAAGUGAUCAAUGUCCUUAAGCACCUCGCCCCGCUCUGCGCCGGGCCCCUCUUGAUGAGUCGCUGCUGUGAUUGGCCUGGAAAAACAAGUGGCCCUGCAGUCACCUGACCAUCAGCGCCCCCCCCGCCCCCCCGCCCACACAGUCGGCCUGGCACGGGGACGCGUCGUGCAGGUGUACCACAGUCGGAAGUUAUUCAUCGUCCAUAAUGUUAACGAUUACAGCAUGUCGAUAGCGGACCCGGGAGUUAAAUGAGUUUGUGCACUCAGCGACGCUGCGCCUUUGGCGGUUCAAGGUCACUCCCUUCCUCCUCCUGACAGGCGGGACGAUUCCCGGGGCCCGGCCCGCGGGCGCAAACACAUCUUGGCUCAAGGUCAAGCGAGCCACUAUUUAGAACAAAUAGAUACAUAAAGCACUCAAUCUGGCGGGCCGGUUAAGUACGGGCCGGGACCUUGGGCCGGGAUAAAAGUUGGCCGGGCAGCUCGUAUUUUUCGUCCUGUACUUGUAUUUCAGCGGGACACUUUGUCACCCCCCCCCGGCCCCCUCCUCCACCACCCUUCUCCCUCCACUCCUUUCCGACCCGCUUUAACGCUUUCAACUCGCUCUCAUGUGACCAUUGAUUUUCGUCCCGUAAGGGCUCACCGGAGUGCAAUGCGGACGACUCCGUCGAGCGCCUUUUCGGGACGGGGCGUCCGCCGCUUGCCCCCCCCGUUAAGCUGCUCCGCGGGACGCGCCCGUGACCAAAGCUGCUAUUCAACCCCCGGAUCGGCCUGGAAGAAACAAAACACGGAACACAGGGGCCCUUUUGUGUUUGGGCACGAGCGGGACAAGGCCGGGGCGCGUGGCGAGGGGACACACUCCAUCGGGAGUCAGUUAGCAGCUCAUGCCUAUCGUAGUGGACAAUGGGUGCAAGGGGCAAGUGUCUCCCUCCCCUUCCACUCUCUCUCUCCC